Molecule: ribosomal RNA, 839 nt
Filed under: uncultured bacterium
Lineage: Bacteria
Description: bacterial SSU rRNA
Rfam family: Bacterial small subunit ribosomal RNA
Source: RNAcentral
CAUGCAAGUCGAGCGGGGAUUAUCGAAUGAAGUUUUCGGAUGGAAUUUGGUGAUUCUAGCGGCGGACGGGUGAGUAACGCGUGAGCAACCUGCCUUUCACAGGGGGAUAACGCAUCGAAAGGUGCACUAAUACCGCAUGAGACCACGCUCCCGACAUGAGAGAGGGGUCAAAGGAGCAAUCCGGUGAGAGAUGGGCUCGCGUCUGAUUAGCUAGUUGGUGAGGUAACGGCCCACCAAGGCGACGAUCAGUAGCCGACCUGAGAGGGUGAUCGGCCACAUUGGAACUGAGAGACGGUCCAAACUCCUACGGGAGGCAGCAGUGGGGAAUAUUGGGCAAUGGGGGAAACCCUGACCCAGCAACGCCGCGUGAAGGAAGAAGGUUUUCGGAUCGUAAACUUCUAUCCUUGGUGAAAAUAGUGAUGGUAGCCAAGAAGGAAGCCCCGGCUAACUACGUGCCAGCAGCCGCGGUAAUACGUAGGGGGCAAGCGUUGUCCGGAAUGAUUGGGCGUAAAGGGCGCGUAGGCGGCCUGGUAAGUUUGAAGUGAAAGUCCUUCUUUUAAGGAGGGAACUGCUUUGAAAACUGUCGGGCUUGAGUGCAGGAGAGGUAAGCGGAAUUCCCGGUGUAGCGGUGAAAUGCGUAGAGAUCGGGAGGAACACCAGUGGCGAAGGCGGCUUACUGGACUGUUACUGACGCUGAGGCGCGAAAGUGUGGGGAGCAAACAGGAUUAGAUACCCUGGUAGUCCACACUGUAAACGAUGAAUGCUAGGUGUAGGGGGUAUCGACCCCUUCUGUGCCGGAGUAAACACAAUAAGCAUUCCGCCUGGGGAGUACGGCCGCA